Molecule: small nucleolar RNA, 216 nt
Organism: Prolemur simus (greater bamboo lemur)
Lineage: Eukaryota; Metazoa; Chordata; Mammalia; Primates; Lemuridae
Gene: U3
Rfam family: Small nucleolar RNA U3
About the family: Small nucleolar RNAs (snoRNAs) are involved in the processing and modification of rRNA in the nucleolus. There are two main classes of snoRNAs: the box C/D class, and the box H/ACA class. U3 snoRNA is a member of the box C/D class.
Source: Ensembl
AAGACUAUACUUUCAGGGAUCAUUGCUAUAGCUCGUUACUAGAGAAGUUUCUCUGAACAUGUAGAGCACCAGAAACCAUAAGUAGGGAGUGCAGUGUUCUUUCCUGAGCCUGAAGCCGGCUCUUGGUGUUGCUUAGCUGCAACUGCCAUUUGUCAUUGAUAAUUGCUCUUCUCUACCUCUGGGGGAGUAAAAGGGAGAGGAGGCAGACUGAGUAGG